AUGGGGAACGGUUUAGGGCUUUUUAGCUAAACAACUCUCGACUCCGGGAGUUCAAUUUUAACUGUGCACAAACGAAGACAACGACAAACCGAACCUCUAACGCAGUAUUCAAGGGAAUAACAACCGGUGGCAACCUGUGUUCACGUCAGGAAGUACUUCCCAGACACAGACUGAUUAAAACCUCCUCCCCCCCCCCCACCAGUGGUAUGUCUUGUGUGACUGAACGGUAAAAGCUUCAAUUCAUUAGUAUAUGUACCUUAGGAGUAACAUCUGCUUCUAACACAUAGACCCUAGUAUCACACAAGGAAUGUAGGACCACCUGGCAGGUAAAUCGCCCCACAGAGUCUGCCUGGAACCGUAAUGGGAUGUCCACACAGCCACAAUCUAUUGAACACAAGGACGAUGCAGGGAGGAGAGCAGGUGGACAAAUUAAGGAAAGUGUGGACAGUGACAUCGGUUAAAUACCAACAGUACAUUAUCAAACCUUUUGUGGAACUCAGGAAUAUUUCCUAUGUUUCCUCAAGACCAACAAGACCAACAAAAAAACGGGCUUAAAAUAUUUUCUUUACUAUAUCUCCAGCUGUAAAAUAAAAAUCUUCAAUCUAAAGCCUGUUUUACUUAAUGUUGCACUGCGAAACAACAAAUUAGUACUUUGUGGAACUUUGUUGUCGGUGAAUGGGAACCCCUACAUGUCAGUGGCUGAUUAACAUUUUGU
This is a non-coding RNA of Labrus bergylta (ballan wrasse), 715 nucleotides long. Lineage: Eukaryota; Metazoa; Chordata; Actinopteri; Labriformes; Labridae. The record is from RefSeq and is a predicted model, not a curated record.